RNAcentral lists this Y RNA (109 nucleotides) under Paramormyrops kingsleyae. RNAcentral describes it as "Y RNA (ENSPKIG00000001185.1)". It matches the Rfam family "Y RNA". From Rfam's summary of the family: Y RNAs are components of the Ro ribonucleoprotein particle (Ro RNP), in association with Ro60 and La proteins. The Y RNAs and Ro60 and La proteins are well conserved, but the function of the Ro RNP is not known. In humans the RNA component can be one of four small RNAs -- hY1, hY3, hY4 and hY5. The record is from RNAcentral. Lineage: Eukaryota; Metazoa; Chordata; Actinopteri; Osteoglossiformes; Mormyridae.
GGCUGGUCCGAUUGUAGUGGGUUCAUGCAAUUGCUAUUUCUCAGUCAGUUAACUUAACUCCCUGUUUGUUUCCCCCUUCCCACUCACUACGUAAUUUGACUAGUCUUUU